UGAGUAACCUGCCCUUAACUCUGGGAUAAGCCUGGGAAACUGGGUCUAAUACCGGAUAUGACUCCUCAUCGCAUGGUGGGGGGUGGAAAGCUUUAUUGUGGUUUUGGAUGGACUCGCGGCCUAUCAGCUUGUUGGUGAGGUAAUGGCUCACCAAGGCGACGACGGGUAGCCGGCCUGAGAGGGUGACCGGCCACACUGGGACUGAGACACGGCCCAGUCUCCGUACGGGAGGCAG
This 235-nucleotide ribosomal RNA is filed under the name uncultured bacterium. Its description in RNAcentral is "partial 16S ribosomal RNA". It matches the Rfam family "Bacterial small subunit ribosomal RNA", at positions 118 to 351 of the family's 1533-position model. The record is from RNAcentral.